Molecule: non-coding RNA, 961 nt
Organism: Camellia sinensis
Lineage: Eukaryota; Viridiplantae; Streptophyta; Magnoliopsida; Ericales; Theaceae
Source: RefSeq, a predicted model, not a curated record
UGUAGCUUUGGUUGUAUUGAUAUCUCAUACAGAUCAAAUAAAUGACCUAGUUUUUGGUCAUGAGAGUGCUUUAAAAGGGUUACACAAAGAUGCUGUCAUCAUUCUCCAUUCAACCAUACUACCUGCUCAUAUACAGAAGAGGAUUUGGAGAGAGUUUUUGUAGUUCAUAUAUAUGUCUCUAAGGGAAUGUCAGAGGUUUUGAAUCGCAAAAUAAUGGUAAGAUUAUAUAUCUCAUAUCCUAUUUCUUCCUCACAUAAGUAGAGGAUCAUUUUGCUUUUGUUUUGCUAUUUUAUAGCUGGCUGAAGCUGAUAUUUCUAUAAUACGCAGAUUAUUUCAUCAAGACAGUAAAUUUGUUUGUGCUAGGUGUUUAACCCAAUUUAACAGGGAUUGGCACAGGGGAAUGGCCCUUCUUCUUUGUUUAUUUAUGUUAGGUGUUCUAAUAUCAUAUUAGAUGAUGUUAUUGUUAAUAUCUACUUUUCUUUUUUAAAUUGCAGCAAAAUUAAAAUGGUAAUAGAGCUGCUUGAGGGCAUUCAUUUUUUUCUUCUGUGGAGGCCAUUUCUCUUGGUGCCCAAGCUGGUAUUCAUCCAUGGAUAAUUUAUGACAUUAUUUCUAAUGCUGCUGGAAAUUCAUGGGUUUUCAAGAAUCAUGUUCCCCAGUUGCUAAGGGAUAAUCAAACCAAACAUCUCUUGAAUACUUUUGUUCAAAAUUUGUUUGCUGAUCUGCUAUUCUUCUGGUGCUGCUGUGAUGUUGCUGCUGUUGCUGAGAUGCUGUCGUGAUGCUGCUGUGAUGGUGUUUGUUACGAUGAGGUGCUGCUAUGUUAUUGUUGGAUGUUUGCUGGUGUUGUUGAUGUUUGGAAGGGUGUAGGACUUUUUGUCCAAUCUGUAAUAGAUCAGGUUUUCAUUAAUGGGGGUUGUCAUUAGGUGUAAGUUCGGGCAACUGCUGGUGUUUUGGCUGGAAGGGU